This 86-nucleotide ribosomal RNA is filed under the name Jaculus jaculus (lesser Egyptian jerboa). The record is from RNAcentral. Lineage: Eukaryota; Metazoa; Chordata; Mammalia; Rodentia; Dipodidae.
GUCUACGGCCAUACCACUGGAACAUGCCCAAUCUCAUCUGAUCUUAGAAGCUAAGCAGGGUCAGGCCUGGUUAGUACUUGUAAAGG